RNAcentral lists this ribosomal RNA (482 nucleotides) under uncultured bacterium. RNAcentral describes it as "partial 16S ribosomal RNA". It matches the Rfam family "Bacterial small subunit ribosomal RNA", at positions 28 to 523 of the family's 1533-position model. The record is from RNAcentral.
GACGAACGCUGGAGGCGUGCUUAACACAUGCAAGUCGAACGAUGAAAUGGAGCUUGCUCCAUGGAUUAGUGGCGAACGGGUGAGUAACACGUGAAUAACCUGCCCUUAAUUUUGGAAUAACCCAGGGAAACCUGGGCUAAUACCGGAUAAGUAAACCUGUGGCAUCACCUGGUUUUGGAAAGUUUUUCGAUUAAGGAUGGAUUCGCGGCCUAUCAGCUUGUUGGUGAGGUAAUGGCUCACCAAGGCGACGACGGGUAGCCGGCCUGAGAGGGUGAACGGCCACACUGGGACUGAGACACGGCCCAGACUCCUACGGGAGGCAGCAGUGGGGAAUAUUGCGCAAUGGACGAAAGUCUGACGCAGCGACGCCUCGUGAGGGACGAAGGUCUUCGGAUUGUAAACCUCUUUCAGCAGGGACGAAGCGAAAGUGACGGUACCUGCAGAAGAAGCACCGGCUAACUAUGUGCCAGCCGCCGCAGUAA